This 464-nucleotide ribosomal RNA is filed under the name Vreelandella stevensii. RNAcentral describes it as "partial 16S ribosomal RNA". It matches the Rfam family "Bacterial small subunit ribosomal RNA", at positions 339 to 795 of the family's 1533-position model. The record is from RNAcentral. Lineage: Bacteria; Pseudomonadati; Pseudomonadota; Gammaproteobacteria; Oceanospirillales; Halomonadaceae.
CCUCGGGGGGCUGCAGUGGGGAAUAUUGGACAAUGGGCGAAAGCCUGAUCCAGCCAUGCCGCGUGUGUGAAGAAGGCCUUCGGGUUGUAAAGCACUUUCAGUGGGGAAGAAAGCCUUGGGGCUAAUACCCUCGAGGAAGGACAUCACCCACAGAAGAAGCACCGGCUAACUCCGUGCCAGCAGCCGCGGUAAUACGGAGGGUGCGAGCGUUAAUCGGAAUUACUGGGCGUAAAGCGCGCGUAGGCGGUCUGAUAAGCCGGUUGUGAAAGCCCCGGGCUCAACCUGGGAACGGCAUCCGGAACUGUCAGGCUAGAGUGCAGGAGAGGAAGGUAGAAUUCCCGGUGUAGCGGUGAAAUGCGUAGAGAUCGGGAGGAAUACCAGUGGCGAAGGCGGCCUUCUGGACUGACACUGACGCUGAGGUGCGAAAGCGUGGGUAGCAAACAGGAUUAGAUACCCGAGUAGUC